RNAcentral lists this ribosomal RNA (251 nucleotides) under uncultured bacterium. RNAcentral's name for it is "partial 16S ribosomal RNA". It matches the Rfam family "Bacterial small subunit ribosomal RNA", at positions 85 to 339 of the family's 1533-position model. The record is from RNAcentral.
GUGAUGACGAGCGGCGGACGGGUGAGUAAUGUAUAGGAAGCUGCCCGAUAGAGGGGGAUAACCACUGGAAACGGUGGCUAAUACCGCAUAAUGUCUACGGACCAAAGUAUGGGACCUUCGGGCCAUAUGCUAUCGGAUGCGCCUAUAUGGGAUUAGCUAGUUGGUGUGGUAAUGGCGCACCAAGGCGACGAUCCCUAGCUGGUUUGAGAGGAUGAUCAGCCACACUGGGACUGAGACACGGCCCAGACUCC